GGAGAGAUGGCUCAGCGGUUAAGAGCACGGACUGCUAUUCUGAAGGUCCUGAGUUCAAAUCCCAGCAACCACA
RNAcentral lists this transfer RNA (73 nucleotides) under Mus musculus (house mouse). RNAcentral describes it as "tRNA-Ser". Lineage: Eukaryota; Metazoa; Chordata; Mammalia; Rodentia; Muridae. The record is from RNAcentral.